This 462-nucleotide ribosomal RNA is filed under the name uncultured bacterium. RNAcentral's name for it is "partial 16S ribosomal RNA". It matches the Rfam family "Bacterial small subunit ribosomal RNA", at positions 29 to 523 of the family's 1533-position model. The record is from RNAcentral.
AAUGAACGUUGGCGGCAUGGAUUAGGCAUGCAAGUCGGGGGAACCCCAGCAAUGGGGGAACCGGCGUAAGGGGCAGUAAGGCAUGGGUACCUACCUUGGGGUUCGGGAUAGCCAUCAGAGAUGGUGGGUAAUACCGGAUGACGUCGUGAGACCAAAGAUUUAUCGCCCUUAGAGGGGCCCAUGUGAUAUUAGCUAGUUGGUGGGGUAACGGCCCACCAAGGCGAAGAUGUCUAGCGGGUGUGAGAGCACGACCCGCGCCACUCGCACUGAGACACUGGCGAGACACCUACGGGUGGCUGCAGUCGAGGAUCUUCGGCAAUGAGCGCAAGCUUGACCGAGCGAUGCCGCGUGAGCGAUGAAGGCCUUCGGGUUGUAAAGCUCUUUAGUGGGGGAGAAAAGCCGCAAGGUGUGAUCUAUCCCAAAAAUAAGCACGGGCUAAGUUCGUGCCAGCCGCCGCCGUAA